GAUGAGAGAGAGAGUUUCUCUCUCUUCUCUCUCUUCUUUCAGUCUAAACCCUGACUUUCUCUCUCUGGAAUUGGACUUUCUCUCUCUACUUUCUCUCUCUAGAAUUUUCUCUCUCUAGAUUAUUUCUCUGUCUUGAUGGAUUUCUCUCUCUCUAAAGUUAUUCCUCUAGGAUUUGCAUAGUGAAAGGUUUCAUCUGAUGAUUUUGAUCGAGUUUAGGGAAGAGUCUGAUUUUAAGUGAGGUUUUGAUUUUGGGAUUUGUUAAAUUUAAUUUUGAAUUAAAAUUAAUAUAAAAAUAUAAUUUUGGAUAAUAGACACGGAAGAAUCUCCUAGAAGUUAGUCGAUCUGUUCAUUCAGUGCUCCGUGAAAGGUAAGUAAUGAAUCAUCUUCUCGAGAUAUUCCAUAUUUAUUCUGAAAAUAAAUAAUUAUUCUUUGAAAUUAUGUAUGAUUUAUGAAAUUAUGUUUUGAAAGAAAAGUGCUUUUGAAAUAUUAUGGUACGUCGAAUUAUGCACAUAUUCAGUGAAAAAAAGAUUAUGAUAUAUAUUAUGGUACAAAGUAUUUUGAUACAGAUCGGAUUUAUGCUCUCAGCCUAACUAUGUUUCAGUGGGCCCCGCCAAUGGGGAUUAUACAUUGGUACUCAGUGGACCCUGCCAGUAGGGGUUGUGCGCUGGUGUUUGUGGACCCUGCCAGUAGGGGUUGUGCGCUGGUAUUUGUGGACCCUGCCAGUGGGGGUUGUGCGCUGGUAUUCUGUGGACCCCGC
This 757-nucleotide long non-coding RNA is filed under the name Elaeis guineensis (African oil palm). RNAcentral describes it as "long non-coding RNA (EGUI_LNC051320)". The record is from RNAcentral. Lineage: Eukaryota; Viridiplantae; Streptophyta; Magnoliopsida; Arecales; Arecaceae.